AUUAAACGCUGGCGGCAUGCCUUACACAUGCAAGUCGAACGGCAGCAUGGUCUAGCUUGCUAGACUGAUGGCGAGUGGCGAACGGGUGAGUAACGCGUAGGAAUAUACCUUAUAGAGGGGGAUAACCUGGGGAAACUCAGGCUAAUACCGCAUGUUAUCUAAGGAUUAAAGCUGGGGACCUUAGGGCCUGGCGCUAUAAGAAUAGCCUGCGUCCGAUUAGCUAGUUGGUGGGGUAAAGGCCUACCAAGGCGACGAUCGGUAGCUGGUCUGAGAGGAUGAUCAGCCACACUGGGACUGAGACACGGCCCAGACUCCUACGGGAGGCAGCAGUGGGGAAUAUUGGACAAUGGGGGCAACCCUGAUCCAGCAAUGCCGCGUGUGUGAAGAAGGCCUGAGGGUUGUAAAGCACUUUCAGCGAGGAGGAAGGUUGUAUGGUUAAUACCCAUGCGAUUUGACGUUACUCGCAGAAGAAGCACCGG
RNAcentral lists this ribosomal RNA (479 nucleotides) under uncultured bacterium. Its description in RNAcentral is "bacterial SSU rRNA". It matches the Rfam family "Bacterial small subunit ribosomal RNA", at positions 30 to 496 of the family's 1533-position model. The record is from RNAcentral.